This 460-nucleotide ribosomal RNA is filed under the name uncultured bacterium. RNAcentral describes it as "partial 16S ribosomal RNA". It matches the Rfam family "Bacterial small subunit ribosomal RNA", at positions 338 to 795 of the family's 1533-position model. The record is from RNAcentral.
CCUACGGGAGGCAGCAGUGAGGAAUAUUGGUCAAUGGGCGCGAGCCUGAACCAGCCAAGUAGCGUGAAGGAUGACUGCCCUACGGGUUGUAAACUUCUUUUAUAUAGGAAUAAAGUGAUGCACGUGUGCCUUUUUGUAUGUACUUUAUGAAUAAGGAUCGGCUAACUCCGUGCCAGCAGCCGCGGUAAUACGGAGGAUCCGAGCGUUAUCCGGAUUUAUUGGGUUUAAAGGGAGCGUAGGUGGAUUGUUAAGUCAGUUGUGAAAGUUUGCGGCUCAACCGUAAAAUUGCAAUUGAUACUGGCAGCCUUGAGUACAGUUGAGGUAGGCGGAAUUCGUGGUGGAGCGGUGAAAUGCUUAGAUAUCACGAAGAACUCCGAUUGCGAAGGCAGCCUACUGGACUGCCACUGACACUGAGGCUCGAAAGUGUGGGUAUCAAACAGGAUUAGAUACCCCAGUAGUC